Non-coding RNA from Mus musculus (house mouse), 82 nucleotides. NCBI's taxonomy places the organism in Eukaryota, Metazoa, Chordata, Mammalia, Rodentia, Muridae. The record is from Rfam.
GACGAGGUGGCCGAGUGGUUAAAGCGAUGGACUGCUAAUCCACUGUGCUCAGUAUGCGUGGGUUCGAAUCCCAUCCUCGUCC